AUUGUACGCUGGCGGCAUGCUUUACACAUGCAAGUCGGACGGCAGCACAGAGAAGCUUGCUUCUUGGGUGGCGAGUGGCGAACGGGUGAGUAACAUAUCGGAACGUACCGAGCAGUGGGGGAUAACUAAUCGAAAGAUUAGCUAAUACCGCAUAUUUUCUGAGGAAGAAAGCAGGGGACCAUUUGGCCUUGCGCUGUUUGAGCGGCCGAUAUCUGAUUAACUAGUUGGUGGGGUAAAGGCCUACCAAGGCGACGAUCAGUAGCGGGUCUGAGAGGAUGAUCCGCCACACUGGGACUGAGACACGGCCCAGACUCCUACGGGAGGCAGCAGUGGGGAAUUUUGGACAAUGGGCGCAAGCCUGAUCCAGCCAUGCCGCGUGUCCUGAAGAAGGCCUUCGGGUUGUAAAGGUACUUUUGUUCAGGGAAGAAAGAGGCGGGGUUAAUACCCCGUGUCUGAAUAACGGUACCCUGAAGAAUAAGCAC
Molecule: ribosomal RNA, 482 nt
Filed under: Neisseria flava
Lineage: Bacteria; Pseudomonadati; Pseudomonadota; Betaproteobacteria; Neisseriales; Neisseriaceae
Description: bacterial SSU rRNA
Rfam family: Bacterial small subunit ribosomal RNA
Source: RNAcentral